Molecule: ribosomal RNA, 253 nt
Filed under: uncultured bacterium
Lineage: Bacteria
Description: partial 16S ribosomal RNA
Rfam family: Bacterial small subunit ribosomal RNA
Source: RNAcentral
UACGAAGGGGGCUAGCGUUGCUCGGAAUCACUGGGCGUAAAGCGCACGUAGGCGGAUUGCUAAGUCAGGGGUGAAAUCCUGGAGCUCAACUCCAGAACUGCCUUUGAUACUGGCGAUCUCGAGUCCGGGAGAGGUGAGUGGAACUGCGAGUGUAGAGGUGAAAUUCGUAGAUAUUCGCAAGAACACCAGUGGCGAAGGCGGCUCACUGGCCCGGAACUGACGCUGAGGUGCGAAAGCGUGGGGAGCAAACAGG